GAUGAACGCUGGCUACAGGCUUAACACAUGCAAGUCGAGGGGAAACGACGGGGAAGCUUGCUUCCCCGGGCGUCGACCGGCGCACGGGUGAGUAACGCGUAUCCAACCUGCCUCUGACUGAGGGAUAACCCGUCGAAAGUCGGCCUAAUACCUCAUGGCAUCGUCUGCGGGCAUCCAACGACGAUUAAAGAUUUCAUCGGUCAGGGAUGGGGAUGCGUUUGAUUAGCUUGUUGGCGGGGUAACGGCCCACCAAGGCUACGAUCAGUAGGGGUUCUGAGAGGAAGGUCCCCCACAUUGGAACUGAGACACGGUCCAAACUCCUACGGGAGGCAGCAGUGAGGAAUAUUGGUCAAUGGGCGGGAGCCUGAACCAGCCAAGUAGCGUGCAGGAUGACGGCCCUAUGGGUUGUAAACUGCUUUUAUGCGGGGAUAAAGUGAGGGACGUGUCCUUCAUUGCAGGUACCGCAUGAAUAAGGACCGGCUAAUUCCGUG
This 491-nucleotide ribosomal RNA is filed under the name uncultured bacterium. RNAcentral's name for it is "partial 16S ribosomal RNA". It matches the Rfam family "Bacterial small subunit ribosomal RNA", at positions 28 to 507 of the family's 1533-position model. The record is from RNAcentral.